GGAACUUAGCUCCUUUGAGUUUCCUCUUCUCCAUCAGCAUGGCCAGGGUUAUUUAUGAACAGCUCCAGAUAUUCUAACACACUUGUUGAUGCUCUUAAGGGGAUCCUGUCCAGCUGUCCCUGCCAAAGACACUCCCAUUAUCACCAGGACCUGGGCUCCACAUGUUCCUGCUUGAGGCUUGGGUUCUCGUAUUCUUUCAUCUUCAAGAUUUGCAAACAGGAGCACAUUAAUCUUCACAACAUCCGUGUGAGCUGAGCAGCUGGUACAUCUUAUGAUCCUCUGUAUUAAUGAUGGAAAGAUGAUAAUGAUGGUGAUAAAAAUUAAGACACAUCAAACAGCGUCAGCACUAUCACAUCAAAACACCCAUGGAUUUCUCAGUGUGGAGAAGAGGUGACAUUAACCUUAGGAGGGGGAAAACUGCUGGAAGAGGGGAAGGGCUCAAGCAGGCCCUUGGCAGAGGAGGGACCUUCCAGGUAAAUCAGAUGGCCACUGCCUUGUACCCGCAUUGGAGAACGAAGGACCCCAGGGGAAACUCUUCCUGCCUUUGGGUCUCAAACGCCCAUGUAGUCCCCCCUCCCCCACAAGACCGCGAACACAAAUAAAAUCAGCUUUGAUUGUGGUGAUUCAAUUUGCUCUGGAAGAGAAGAGGACUCGGCGAAGGGGCCUAAGUGCACGUUCUUAGACUGACAGGGAGCGUUUCUCGGAGAUUUCUCCCGUUUCAACAAGUCAUUUGCCUAGUGGAAGGGGGAGGAA
This 753-nucleotide long non-coding RNA is filed under the name Homo sapiens (human). RNAcentral's name for it is "HSALNT0247954". The record is from RNAcentral. Lineage: Eukaryota; Metazoa; Chordata; Mammalia; Primates; Hominidae.